GACAGAGGGUGCAAACGUUGCUCGGAAUUACUGGGCGUAAAGCGUGCGCAGGCGGUUAUGUAAGACAGUUGUGAAAUCCCCGGGCUCAACCUGGGAACUGCAUCUGUGACUGCAUAGCUAGAGUACGGUAGAGGGGGAUGGAAUUCCGCGUGUAGCAGUGAAAUGCGUAGAUAUGCGGAGGAACACCGAUGGCGAAGGCAAUCCCCUGGACCUGUACUGACGCUCAUGCACGAAAGCGUGGGGAGCAAACAGG
Molecule: ribosomal RNA, 253 nt
Filed under: uncultured bacterium
Lineage: Bacteria
Description: partial 16S ribosomal RNA
Rfam family: Bacterial small subunit ribosomal RNA
Source: RNAcentral